Molecule: ribosomal RNA, 425 nt
Filed under: uncultured bacterium
Lineage: Bacteria
Description: bacterial SSU rRNA
Rfam family: Bacterial small subunit ribosomal RNA
Source: RNAcentral
AGGGAAUCUUCCGCAAUGGACGAAAGUCUGACGGAGCAACGCCGCGUGAGUGAUGAAGGUUUUCGGAUCGUAAAACUCUGUUGUUAGGGAAGAACAAGUACGAGAGUAACUGCUCGUACCUUGACGGUACCUAACCAGAAAGCCACGGCUAACUACGUGCCAGCAGCCGCGGUAAUACGUAGGUGGCAAGCGUUGUCCGGAAUUAUUGGGCGUAAAGCGCGCGCAGGCGGUCCUUUAAGUCUGAUGUGAAAGCCCACGGCUUAACCGUGGAGGGUCAUUGGAAACUGGGGGACUUGAGUGCAGGAGAGAAGAGUGGAAUUCCACGUGUAGCGGUGAAAUGCGUAGAGAUGUGGAGGAACACCAGUGGCGAAGGCGACUCUUUGGCCUGUAACUGACGCUGAGGCGCGAAAGCGUGGGGAGCAAAC